Oncorhynchus gorbuscha (pink salmon) is the source of this 2619-nucleotide long non-coding RNA. RefSeq lists it as uncharacterized. NCBI's taxonomy places the organism in Eukaryota, Metazoa, Chordata, Actinopteri, Salmoniformes, Salmonidae. The record is from RefSeq and is a predicted model, not a curated record. The transcript has 2 exons.
UCACGAAUCACAUGAAAUAAAUCAUCAUCUUCUGUAAUAACUGUUAAAGCAACAAAAUAACUAGGGCUUUAUAUUGAAAACCUGGAGAAAUGUUGGGGUUCAGUGGGUUAAAAUCUUCCUAGAUGGGGCACGGAUGGACAUGUCAAAAUGCUGAAUCUUGCCACUUCAGCAAGUCUUUAUUCAUAUUAAAAAUCAGAUUGAUUGAAUUCUCCAUGUUGUAUAUAUUAAAUGGCAGUUCAUCUAACAUAACAUGCUUUUAUUUCUUCUUAAAAUAUCAAAGGCACUAAUUUCACACACAAGCUCGCACACAAACACACACACACAACGGUGCUGGGUGGAGUGUACGCUCAGAGGGAAGGAGUCAUUCUCAAGCAAUGUGGGCGACUGACUCCUUCAACUAUUUAGAUUCCAUUUUGUAAAAAAGAAAACACUGUCCAGAACAUAGGAAGGCAAAGAAGAUCUGAUGUGGAGAUGGAACGUGACGGCCAAGUCAAAUGGAUCACUGUGCUCUUUAGUCGGACGACCCAAUGGACUUGGCUAGUUGUGGUGGUGAACUUGGCCCAGAGUUAUUAACUGGUCCUCAUCAAGUCGCACAAGAAAACAGGCAUCAGGAAAAAUACAUUAUGUCAAUUCGGAUGAUUAAUUACACAGGUUAUGCAAUUACCUUCAGAGAAAUGAAUGUAGGACCGACACUUUCUCCUCCGUGGGGAUGAGAGUUUAAAAACAUACCAAAAAAAAAGUAACAAAGAGCCCCCAAAACAGGAUGAACAGAUUAUAGGAAGAGAGGGAGCUAGGGAGGACAAAGGAGGGUAGAAAGCAUAAACAAUACAGUGAAUAUUGCUGUUCUGGUAGCUGAGAAAUAUAUGGGAACAGCUACAGUGUACUACAGUAUCUGAACGUUGUUCCACAAAGCUUUCAAUGUGCAGAUUUGGAAGCAGCAAUCCAAUUGUAAACCACCUUUCUCUCUCCUCCUCUCUCUCUCCUCUUCCUACUUCUCUCCAUUUCUCCUUACAGUCUCUGUUCCAAUCUCCCAUGGCAAUCUUCCGACCAGCAUGUUUUUCUCCACCAGAGCCCAGAGACCUUGGCGCGGAGUGUUGGACGUCUGACACUGUUGACACGGUGCUGUUUUGCAAUACAAAGCGGACUGUGGUUUAUUUUCGGGAAAACAAUAUUUUCUUUCUACCAUGUUGCAACUUAUUUUCCCAAUUUCAUUAUUUGUUAUUGCUCGUGGUGGAUUAACGUCUAUGCGCUGUUAAUCGGGGGAGAGGGAGAGAAAGCGAGUGAAGGGGAGCAGGGAGGAGAGGAAAGCGGUGGGGAAUCUGUUUGAAGAACACCUCUGUGAUUUCUUUGAGUUCAUACAUGAAUGGAGUUGUAAACAAGCUCUGAGGAUUUACAGGCCUGCUGAAAUAGAGUGCCGACCCCUGCAUUCCUCUGAGCAAUGUAUUCUGGAAGAAUCAACACUGGGCCUGAGGUGGACCUCUCUCUCUCUCUCCCCUGUCUACUCUGUUCUCACCCCUCCUCAUUUUUCUGUAACAUAUUUAUCUGGCCACCGAAUGAAGGAAGGCCUCUCUGGGGGAGAGGGGGAAGGGGGUAGUUAGCCCCCCUCCCACCUGCACACUUGUGACUGUCAUUGGUUUGACUGAUCACCUCGAAUCCGCGAGCAGAUGGUUGGAUGAGGGUCAGCGAUAUUACAUAAGCCACAUUGUUCCUCUGGCAAAGCCAAGAGCGUUGGACUCAUGGGUCUCGUCAUCUAGAAUUAUAUCUGGGAAGGAACAUCGCCAUUAGGUUUCAAACUGAACCAGAACACUGUCGAAAUGACAAGAUAAUAAUCAGGCUAUUAACUCAGGGAUACAUGAUAAAGAGAAAGACUGAUGAUAUGUGUACAAUUAUGUAAUGAAAUGUAUACUAUACAAUCCUAUAUUAUGUAAGACAGUUUUGAUAAAAAAUGUUAGCGAAUAAUAUUAGAAUGACUCAUAUGAGUAUAUAAUUAUGCCAUAGCAUAUCUAAUUUAUGUAAUCAUUCAGUUUCAGUUCACUUUGAUCUUUCAUGCUUCGAUGACAAUAGAUACUGUACAUGUUAUCUAUAUGAAAACACAGUACUAUCUAGAAUACUGCAUGUGAUCUAACUAGGCAUCAUUACUGUGUACAUUUCUGUCAUAACCCUUGGCUUGCUGGCUAGCAAACAGCACAACAGCACAACAUCCAACUGACAUGAAGAAUAUGUAGAGUUGAAAAACAAUAAUGACCCUCUCUUUCCAUCUUUGUCUCAAAUUGCACCCUAUUCCAUAUUUAGUGCGCUAAAUUUGACCAGGCCCCAUAGGGCUCCAUAGGGCUCUGGUCAUAGGUAGCCCACUAUGCUGUAUAGGGUGCCAUUUGGGACACAAUAAGCAUUUGCUUUGUAAAGCGGUUUUCAAUACAAGUUGCAAAGCGCUUCACAGUACUAACAAAGAAACAAAAACUAGAGGAAGGAGAAGAAAAAGCUCAUUAAAAUCAUACAUUGAAAUAACUCUUUAAAAUCACCUUUAUGGAAGUGUCUUCAGCAGUGAUAUAAUGACGCAGCCCAUGUCUGGGCUCAUUUGUAUUGGCGUAGUCUAAUAAAUAUAUAUCUGUUCAUAGUGAA